CAGAUACCGCCCUAGUUCUAACCAUAAACGAUGCCAGCCAGCGAUCCGGCUGCGUUCCUCAAAUGACGCGCCGGGCAGCUUCCGGGAAACCAAAGCCUUUGGGUUCCGGGGGAAG
This 115-nucleotide ribosomal RNA is filed under the name Symphytognathidae sp. SYMP-004-THAI. RNAcentral describes it as "partial 18S ribosomal RNA". It matches the Rfam family "Eukaryotic small subunit ribosomal RNA", at positions 1009 to 1123 of the family's 1831-position model. The record is from RNAcentral. Lineage: Eukaryota; Metazoa; Arthropoda; Arachnida; Araneae; Symphytognathidae.